Molecule: unclassified non-coding RNA, 263 nt
Filed under: plant metagenome
Description: partial contains small subunit ribosomal RNA, internal transcribed spacer 1, and 5.8S ribosomal RNA
Source: RNAcentral
UUUCCGUAGGUGAACCUGCGGAAGGAUCAUUAUUGUAUAACCGAGGUGCGAGGGCUGUCGCUGACCCGAAAGGUCGUGCACGCCCGAGUGCCCUCACACACAUCCCUCUCACCCCUAUGUGCACCACCGCGUGGGUCCCCCUUUGGCUUGUUCGGAGGUGGGCUUACGUUUUCACACAAACUUUGUAUGCAGUGUAGAAUGUAUUUUUUGUUUUUGCGAUCACGCAAUCAACACAACUUUCAACAACGGAUCUCUUGGCUCUC